GGUCCGGUAGGCAAAUCGGCAAAGCCGCCACACUCAAAAUGUGGUGCGUGUGGGUUCGACUCCCACCCGGACUAC
Molecule: transfer RNA, 75 nt
Filed under: Mycobacteroides abscessus subsp. abscessus
Lineage: Bacteria; Bacillati; Actinomycetota; Actinomycetes; Mycobacteriales; Mycobacteriaceae
Description: tRNA-Leu(caa)
Rfam family: tRNA
About the family: Transfer RNA (tRNA) molecules are approximately 80 nucleotides in length. Their secondary structure includes four short double-helical elements and three loops (D, anti-codon, and T loops). Further hydrogen bonds mediate the characteristic L-shaped molecular structure. tRNAs have two regions of fundamental functional importance: the anti-codon, which is responsible for specific mRNA codon recognition, and the 3' end, to which the tRNAs corresponding amino acid is attached (by aminoacyl-tRNA synthetases). tRNAs cope with the degeneracy of the genetic code in two manners: having more than one tRNA (with a specific anti-codon) for a particular amino acid; and 'wobble' base-pairing, i.e. permitting non-standard base-pairing at the 3rd anti-codon position.
Source: RNAcentral